This 46-nucleotide transfer RNA is filed under the name Hymenolepis diminuta. Its description in RNAcentral is "partial tRNA-Trp". Lineage: Eukaryota; Metazoa; Platyhelminthes; Cestoda; Cyclophyllidea; Hymenolepididae. The record is from RNAcentral.
GAGUAUGAAAUUAGUUAGUUUAUAUAGUUGAGUUUUUACGUUAGAU